UUUUGAUUCGUAAGACAAUUUCAAGAGAGAUACAGAAAUACAGAAAUGGCAAAAGCUUCGGUACUGUUUCCUUGUUUGAUAGUUUUAUUUCUCAUAACAUUAGGAACAGAUUGUGCUGAUACAAAGUGCCAGAAUUUUAAAGAAUGUAGUCAUAUACAGUGCAUAUACCCUGGCUGCGCAAGGGCAUGCGUCGCUGGGCGCUGCCUUUGCAGUUGCCGUGAAACACCUGGGGAAAAUGUUUUACCAUGAAUUCAUGAUAACAAAAGAAUAAAGUUUAGGUUUCAAGGUUCUAAUAAAUUAAGAUGAAAAUAUACCAUUCCUUUGCUGUGGAAUUUGUGUCAUGAAACUGUUGAAUGAUAGCUUCUUUGUUUUUCCAUAAACAAUAUUUGUUUAUCUUCA
Long non-coding RNA from Vigna unguiculata (cowpea), 399 nucleotides. RefSeq lists it as uncharacterized. NCBI's taxonomy places the organism in Eukaryota, Viridiplantae, Streptophyta, Magnoliopsida, Fabales, Fabaceae. The record is from RefSeq and is a predicted model, not a curated record.